This 429-nucleotide ribosomal RNA is filed under the name uncultured archaeon. Its description in RNAcentral is "bacterial SSU rRNA". It matches the Rfam family "Archaeal small subunit ribosomal RNA", at positions 474 to 903 of the family's 1478-position model. The record is from RNAcentral.
UACCAGCAGCUCGAGUGGUAACCGCUAUUAUUGGGCCUAAAGCGUCCGUAGCCGGUUUGGUAAAUAUCUGGGUAAAUCGUGAGGCUUAACUUCACGAAUUUCGGAUAGACUGCCAGACUUGGGAUCGGGGGAGGUCAGAGGUACUCCAGGGGUAGCGGUGAAAUGUUGUAAUCCUUGGAGGACCACCGGUAGCGAAGGCGCCUGACUAGAACGAGUCCGACGGUGAGGGACGAAGCCCUGGGGCGCAAACCGGAUUAGAUACCCGGGUAGUCCAGGGUGUAAACGAUGUGGGCUUUGUAUUGGAGGUCCCACGUGGGCGUCCAGUGCAGAAGAGAAGUUGUUAAGCCCACCGCCUGGGAAGUACGGUCGCAAGGCUGAAACUUAAAGGAAUUGGCGGGGGAGCACAGCAACGGGAGGAGCGUGCGGUUU